Molecule: ribosomal RNA, 548 nt
Filed under: uncultured Bifidobacterium sp.
Lineage: Bacteria; Bacillati; Actinomycetota; Actinomycetes; Bifidobacteriales; Bifidobacteriaceae
Description: bacterial SSU rRNA
Rfam family: Bacterial small subunit ribosomal RNA
Source: RNAcentral
CUCCUGGAAACGGGUGGUAAUGCCGGAUGCUCCGCCCCCUCGCAUGGGGGGUCGGGAAGGCUUUUGCGGAAUGGGAUGGGGUCGCGUCCUAUCAGCUUGUUGGCGGGGCGACGGCCCACCAAGGCUUCGACGGGUAGCCGGCCUGAGAGGGCGACCGGCCACAUUGGGACUGAGAUACGGCCCAGACUCCUACGGGAGGCAGCAGUGGGGAAUAUUGCACAAUGGGGGGAACCCUGAUGCAGCGACGCCGCGUGCGGGAUGGAGGCCUUCGGGUCGUGAACCGCUUUUGAUUGGGAGCAAGCGUGAGUGAGUGUACCUCUCGAAUAAGCACCGGCUAACUACGUGCCAGCAGCCGCGGUAAUACGUAGGGUGCAAGCGUUGUCCGGAAUCAUUGGGCGUAAAGGGCUCGUAGGCGGUUCGUCGCGUCCGGUGUGAAAGCCCAUCGCUUAACGGUGGGUCUGCGCCGGGUACGGGCGGGCUUGAGUGCGGCAGGGGAGGCUGGAAUUCCCGGUGUAACGGUGGAAUGUGUAGAUAUCGGGAAGAACACC